GGCGGCGUGCCUAAUACAUGCAAGUCGAACGAGUUCUGAUUAUUGAAAGGUGCUUGCAUCUUGAUUUUAAUUUUGAACGAGUGGCGGACGGGUGAGUAACACGUGGGUAACCUGCCCUUAAGUGGGGGAUAACAUUUGGAAACAGAUGCUAAUACCGCAUAAAUCCAAGAACCGCAUGGUUCUUGGCUGAAAGAUGGCGUAAGCUAUCGCUUUUGGAUGGACCCGCGGCGUAUUAGCUAGUUGGUGAGGUAACGGCUCACCAAGGCAAUGAUACGUAGCCGAACUGAGAGGUUGAUCGGCCACAUUGGGACUGAGACACGGCCCAAACUCCUACGGGAGGCAGCAGUAGGGAAUCUUCCACAAUGGACGCAAGUCUGAUGGAGCAACGCCGCGUGAGUGAAGAAGGCUUUCGGGUCGUAAAACUCUGUUGUUGGAGAAGAAUGGUCGGCAGAGUAACUGUUGUCGGCGUGACGGUAUCCAACCAGAAAGCCACGGCUAACUACGUGCCAGCAGCCGCGGUAAUACGUAGGUGGCAAGCGUUAUCCGGAUUUAUUGGGCGUAAAGCGAGCGCAGGCGGUUUUUUAAGUCUGAUGUGAAAGCCCUCGGCUUAACCGAGGAAGUGCAUCGGAAACUGGGAAACUUGAGUGCAGAAGAGGACAGUGGAACUCCAUGUGUAGCGGUGAAAUGCGUAGAUAUAUGGAAGAACACCAGUGGCGAAGGCGGCUGUCUGGUCUGUAACUGACGCUGAGGCUCGAAAGCAUGGGUAGCGAACAGGAUUAGAUACCCUGGUAGUCCAUGCCGUAAACGAUGAAUGCUAGGUGUUGGAGGGUUUCCGCCCUUCAGUGCCGCAGCUAACGCAUUAAGCAUUCCGCCUGGGGAGUACGACCGCAAGGUUGAAGCUCAAAGGAAUUGACGGGGGCCCGCACAAGCGGUGGAGCAUGUGGUUUAAUUCGAAGCAACGCGAAGAACCUUACCAGGUCUUGACAUCUUUUGAUCACCUGAGAGAUCAGGUUUCCCCUUCGGGGGCAAAAUGACAGGUGGUGCAUGGUUGUCGUCAGCUCGUGUCGUGAGAUGUUGGGUUAAGUCCCGCAACGAGCGCAACCCUUAUGACUAGUUGCCAGCAUUUAGUUGGGCACUCUAGUAAGACUGCCGGUGACAAACCGGAGGAAGGUGGGGAUGACGUCAAAUCAUCAUGCCCCUUAUGACCUGGGCUACACACGUGCUACAAUGGAUGGUACAACGAGUUGCGAGACCGCGAGGUCAAGCUAAUCUCUUAAAGCCAUUCUCAGUUCGGACUGUAGGCUGCAACUCGCCUACACGAAGUCGGAAUCGCUAGUAAUCGCGGAUCAGCACGCCGCGGUGAAUACGUUCCCGGGCCUUGUACACACCGCCCGUCACACCAUGAGAGUUUGUAACACCCGAAGCCGGUGGCGUAACCCUUUUAGGGAGCGAGCCGUCUAAGGUGGGACAAAUGAUUAGGGUG
RNAcentral lists this ribosomal RNA (1483 nucleotides) under uncultured organism. Its description in RNAcentral is "SSU rRNA". It matches the Rfam family "Bacterial small subunit ribosomal RNA". The record is from RNAcentral.